UAUCACAGAACUCCUUCACUUUCAUGACCACACCCUAAUAAUUGUUUUUUUAAUGAGCUCAUUAGUACUUUACAUUAUCUCCCUGAUAUUAACAACUAAAACUCACACAAACACAAUGGUAUGAACUAUUUUACCUGCCAUUAUCUUAAUUUUAAUUGCUCUUUCAUCAUUAUGUAUAUUAUAUAUAAUAGAUGAAAUUAUAACCCCUCCCUUACCAUCGAAACUAUAGGACACCAAUGAUACUGCAGCUAUGAAUACACAGAUUAUGGAGACCUAAAGUUUGAUUCGUCCGUAAUUCCUACAACAGACUUAAAACCAGGAGAACUGUGGCUACUUGAAGUUGAUAAUCAAGUAAUCCUCCCCAUAGAAAUAUCAAUUCGCAUCAAUUGCAUCAGAAGAUGUUCUAUAUUCAUGAGCCGUGUAUCAUUAGGCCUAAAGCCAGAUGCAAUCCCAGGACUUUUAAACCAAGCAACGUUGACAUCUACAUGGCCAGGUCUUUACUACAAUCAAUCCCCAGAAAUCUGCAGAUCUAAUCACAGCUUCAUGCCCAUUGUUCUUGAACUGGUACCUCUAAAAUGCUUUGAAAAUUGAGCAACGUCUAUAUUAU
This 607-nucleotide long non-coding RNA is filed under the name Homo sapiens (human). RNAcentral describes it as "non-protein coding lnc-USP24-5:1". The record is from RNAcentral. Lineage: Eukaryota; Metazoa; Chordata; Mammalia; Primates; Hominidae.